This is an RNA transcript of Dendroctonus ponderosae (mountain pine beetle), 1787 nucleotides long. RefSeq lists it as uncharacterized. Lineage: Eukaryota; Metazoa; Arthropoda; Insecta; Coleoptera; Curculionidae. The record is from RefSeq and is a predicted model, not a curated record. The transcript is spliced from 5 exons.
CCUGGGCUACAAAUCGCGGUUCCCGAUGGAUUUUCCACUGCUUCUGAUGUUCUUUUGGAUGCCACCGAUGAUAACUUUGAUCUCGCCCAAUACUUGUUUAGCGAGGGGACACCCGUUGCUGGCGACCAAAGUUACGUAGCUAGUAGAAUAGAAGAAGCUCCUAGCAGAGAACCUUUGAAUGAUGGGAGCGAAAUGCAGGUCGAUGACUUUAAAAUUGUGCAACCGAAAAAACACAAACGGAAAAGGAAAAAAAUGAGGACUGAUGAACAGAAAACACCUUUCAAUGCAAAUAUGAGAUUGGCAGCGCCAGUCAAAUCGCUCGAUUUGAAAGCUCGUAAAUAUGUUGUACAAAUGAAUGACCAAUCCAAAAACCGAGACGACGAAGAUGAGCCGGAUGUUGAUGUGGAAACAGUAUUUGAAGGGGAGCAUUCUGCUGCGACUUUGCUGGCCCUCCAGAUUUCUAAUGACCUUCGUCAUAAGGACGGUACUGAGUCGGAAAAACGUCCUGAGCGAACAACGAAUGCUGAUAAAGUUUCACCAGAUCUCCGUUUAGAGUUAAGUAGUAAUAAGAGAAGAAAAGUGCUGACCAAAAGUAAACCUAAAGGGAUGAAGAUGAAGAGACUGGUGCAGUCAACAAACCUGACGAGAACCGCUGGCUAUCUGAGAGGAAUGCUGGACGCAUUAGUGGUGAAAAUUAGGUUACCCCACUGAUAGCCUCUUUGCCAUUAAAAUCGAGAAAAUCACCGCAUCAAUCAGUUUUCCAAAAUUUGUUUUCCCCGCUUAUAAACAUUGAGGGACUUAUAUGGACAGGAUAUGGCCCACUCCAGACUCCCCGCUUGAGAAUGACUUCUCACCGUCGCCUAGAAAAGCACUGACCAAUCUGGAAGAAGUCACGAAUAAUGUCGAAGGUAUGGUUAAGACAGCACUUGGAGCAAGUUACCAGGGACAAGGAGAUUCUGGAUAAAAAGCUUCAUCUUAGCGUCACAACAAAAGCUAUAUGAACGCAGUACUAAUGAAUACUUACCCGAACGGGAUACGGACAAUGAAAAACACUACUAUAUGGAAACUUUCAGUUUUGGCGAGUUGGAUAGUAUCAUUCCUCCAGUUAUUCUGCUAACUGCCGGAGUCUUGGCUUCGAUGUCUCAAACUGAACUAGACAUGAGGACAAUGCAAGAAAAAAUCGAACCGUUGGAGAAAAAUUUCGAAAAGUUAAACGUAAGAAGUAGCUUGGAAUUUAGCGGCAGUCUGGAUCAGCUAGAGUCUGAACUCAGUUUAUCGACAAUAGAUAACACCACAGACUCCCAACACAAGCUGGACUAGUCGAAUACAACAUUCAGUGAACCAUCGGACAACAAUUGUCCUAAGCAAGAAUUCUGGACCGAAAAGACUACAGAGUUGGUUGGAAAAAAUAAAACCCAAUUUGCUAAGGUUUUUUCCCAUUUUUCUCUUUCAAUCAAUUUCAAUGGCCUUAAGGCAAACUCAGAAGAAUGACAGAAAUUGGACCAUUUAUUUGGAGGUGCAUAAAGAAGCUAAAUUAAAACAAAAAAAUGUCCAGAUUUCGCGUUUUCGGUCUUUAUUGCGAAAUGCUUAUCUCUUUUACGCCGAGAAAGAAUACAACAGCAAGAACGUAGGCCGAUGAAACCAGGAACGCUCCGAGCAUUUUUCUCCACUUUGAGUGUUCUUUUACAAUUUUGUCUACACAAUUGUCCUUGUAAGAGUCAAGUUUAGUGCAAAGCACCGUGUGACGGGGGCAACAUUCUGGAAUUAAAUGGGUAACGUUUCGGAGA